UACGUAGGGUGCGAGCGUUAAUCGGAAUUACUGGGCGUAAAGCGUGCGCAGGCGGCUUACUAAGACAGGUGUGAAAGCCCCGAGCUUAACUUGGGAAUGGCGCUUGUGACUGGUAGGCUGGAGUGUGGCAGAGGGAGGUGGAAUUCCACGUGUAGCAGUGAAAUGCGUAGAGAUGUGGAGGAACACCGAUGGCGAAGGCAGCCUCCUGGGCCAGCACUGACGCUCAAGCACGAAAGCGUGGGGAGCAAACAGG
Molecule: ribosomal RNA, 253 nt
Filed under: uncultured bacterium
Lineage: Bacteria
Description: partial 16S ribosomal RNA
Rfam family: Bacterial small subunit ribosomal RNA
Source: RNAcentral